GUUCAUAUAGCUUAUACUNGAGUUUAAUAUUGAAGCUAUUAAGGAAGAUUUAUCUUAUGAUCA
This 63-nucleotide transfer RNA is filed under the name Ramulus mikado. RNAcentral describes it as "tRNA-Phe". Lineage: Eukaryota; Metazoa; Arthropoda; Insecta; Phasmatodea; Phasmatidae. The record is from RNAcentral.